UCCAUUGACGAGAGAACUUA
This 20-nucleotide small nuclear RNA is filed under the name Arabidopsis thaliana (thale cress). Its description in RNAcentral is "snRNA_10819". Lineage: Eukaryota; Viridiplantae; Streptophyta; Magnoliopsida; Brassicales; Brassicaceae. The record is from RNAcentral.